UGAUUAAAAUUUAUUUAAUGAUUUUAAAAUUCCCGAAAAUAAGGGAGCUAAAUUUAUUUUAUUUUUUUUGUAGCAAUAAAAUUAUAAAUAUAGAUUUAGAAAUUAAAUGUUAAACGAACUUAUUAAUAUCUAGUCUCUUUAGACAUAAAUCUAAUUUAGAUAUAAUUAUUUUAGUAAAUUAAAUUUUAUUUUAAUUUAUUAAUUCUUAUAUUAAAAAUUUAUGGGAUAAUCUAUAAAUUUAAGAUAAAAAUCUAAUUUUAAUUCUUAAUGUUAUAGAGAUAAUAUUUCUCUUUAAUCUUAAUAAUUUAAUAAUCUAAUAUUUAUAAAUUAAUAAUGAUUUAAAUUUAUAUCUUAUUUUUCUAUAAAAAUUUAUAUCUUAAUUAAUAAAAUAUAGAAAUAAUGAUUAGAUUAGUAAUAAAGUUAUAUUUUAUAAUGAUAUUUUGUAUUAUAUAAUUUAAAGGAAUUCGGCAAAUAUAUUAUUCACCUGUUUAUCAAAAACAUGUCCUGUUGAUUAUAAUUUUAGGUCGAUCUGCUCAAUGAAUUAUUUUAAAUAGCUGCAGUAUGUUGACUGUACAAAGGUAGCAUAAUAAAUUGUCUUUUAAUUGAAGAAUUGUAUGAAAGAAUUAAUGAAAUAAUAACUGUCUCUAAAUUAUUAAAUGAAUUUAAAUUUUUAGUUAAAAUUCUAAAAUUUAAUUAUGGGACGAUAAGACCCUAUAGAAUUUAAUUUAAUUUUUAAAUUUAUUUAUAAUUUUAAUAAAUAUAUUUAAGAUUAAAUUUGAUUGGGAGGAUUGGUAAAUUUAAUAAACUUUAUUUAAGAUUUAAUUUUGAUAUAAAGAUAAUUUUUUGAAUUAUAAAUUGUAAUUAAAAGAAUAAAUUACCUUAGGGAUAACAGCGUA
Molecule: ribosomal RNA, 896 nt
Filed under: Apis mellifera caucasia (Caucasian honeybee)
Lineage: Eukaryota; Metazoa; Arthropoda; Insecta; Hymenoptera; Apidae
Description: Apis mellifera caucasica (Caucasian honeybee) partial large subunit ribosomal RNA
Source: RNAcentral